Molecule: ribosomal RNA, 497 nt
Filed under: uncultured bacterium
Lineage: Bacteria
Description: partial 16S ribosomal RNA
Rfam family: Bacterial small subunit ribosomal RNA
Source: RNAcentral
GAUGAACGCUGGCGGCGUGCCUAAUACAUGCAAGUCGAGCGAACAGACGAGGAGCUUGCUCCUCUGACGUUAGCGGCGGACGGGUGAGUAACACGUGGAUAACCUACCUAUAAGACUGGGAUAACUUCGGGAAACCGGACCUAAUACCGGAUAAUAUAUUGAACCGCAUGGUUCAAUAGUGAAAGACGGUUUUGCUGUCACUUAUAGAUGGAUCCGCGCCGCAUUAGCUAGUUGGUAAGGUAACGGCUUACCAAGGCAACGAUGCGUAGCCGACCUGAGAGGGUGAUCGGCCACACUGGAACUGAGACACGGUCCAGACUCCUACGGGAGGCAGCAGUAGGGAAUCUUCCGCAAUGGGCGAAAGCCUGACGGAGCAACGCCGCGUGAGUGAUGAAGGUCUUCGGAUCGUAAAACUCUGUUAUUAGGGAAGAACAAAUGUGUAAGUAACUAUGCACGUCUUGACGGUACCUAAUCAGAAAGCCACGGCUAACUACGUG